This is a long non-coding RNA of Mustela lutreola (European mink), 2260 nucleotides long. RefSeq lists it as uncharacterized. The record is from RefSeq and is a predicted model, not a curated record. The transcript is spliced from 2 exons. Lineage: Eukaryota; Metazoa; Chordata; Mammalia; Carnivora; Mustelidae.
CUAAGACCUAGGGUGACAGGACGGAUAAGCCCAUCUAUAUGCUGCUCACGAGAGACUCUGUUCAAACCUAAAGACAUAUAUUUAGACUGAAAAUGAAGGGAUGGAAAGAUAUUCCAUGCAUGUGGAAACAAGGAAAAAAAAAGCUGGGGUAGCAAUACUUACAUCAGAGAAAAUAGAAUUUAAAACAAAGUAACAAGAGAUAAACAAAGGCACUACAUAGAGAUAAAGGGAUAAAUCCAACAGGAGGAUAUAACAAUUAUAAAUAUCUAGACAUCCAACAUUGGGUUAUCUAAAUAUAUAAAGCAAAGAUUAACAGACAUAAAGGGAGAAAUUGACAGUAAUUUAGUAAUUACUAAACAUCCUACCAACAUCAAUGGAUAAAUCAUCCAGGCAGAAAAUCAAUAAGAAAAGAGUAUCUUUGAGUGACACAUCAGACCAGCUGGAUUUAAUAGAUACACACAAAGCAACCCAUCCCAAAACAACAGAAUACACAUUCUUUUUAAGUACACAUUAAACAUUCUUAAGAGUAGAUCUCAUGCUAGUCAAAAAUCAAGUCUCAAUAAAUUUAUGACUGAAAUCCUUUUAAGUAUCUUUUCCAGCCAAAAUAGUAUGAAACUAGAAAUCAAUUACAAAAUUAAAAAAAAAAAAAACCACCCAAACGGGAAAAUACAAAAACACAUGGAGGCUAAACAACAUGCUACCAAAAAAUCAAUGGGUCAACAAUGAAAUCAAAGAGGAAAUUAAAGGAAAAAACAACAACAACAGAAGACAAAUUAAAAUGAAAAUACAAUAGUCCAAAAAUCUUUGACACAGCAAAAGUAAUUCUGGGAAAUUUAUGGUGAUAGAGUCCUACCUCAAAAAAUAAGAAAAAUCUCAAAAACUAUAACCUUUCACCUAAAGGAAUUGGAAAAUGAAGAACAAACAAAGGCCAAAGUUAGUAAAAGAAAGAAAAUAAAGAUCAUAGUGGAAAUAAGUGAAAUGGAGACUGAAGAAACAAUAGGAAAAAAAAAAAUCAAACCCAGAGUUGGUUCUUUGAAAAGAUAAACAAAACCUUUAACCAGAUUCAUUAAGAAAAAAGAGAGAAUCCAAAAAUGGAUAAAUCAAAAAUGGAAGUGGAGAAAUAACAACCAACACCACAGAAAUACAAAGGGAUUUUUAAAGAACAUUAUGAAAAAUGAUGUACCAACAAAUUGGGUGAACUACAAGAAAUGGGUAAGUUCCUAGAAACACAAAAUCUUCCAAACCUGAAUGAGGAAAAAAAAAACCCAGAAAAUCCAAACAGACCAUUACUAAUUACAUAGUAUCAGUAAUUUAAAAACGUCUAACAAAACUGUAAAAUUAGAUGGAUUUACAGGUAUAUUCUAUGAAACAUUUAAAGAAGAGUUGAUUUCUCUUCUCAAAUUAUUGCAAAAAGAAAAAAAAAAGAAGAGAAAGGGAAGCUUCCACAUACAUUCUAUGAGAUCAGCAUUACUUUGAUACUAAAACCAGAGGAUGAAACCAUAAAAAAGAAAACUAUAGACCAAUAUCCCUGAGAAACAUAAAUACAAAAAUCCUCAACAAAGUAUUAGCAAACUACACUCCAUGAUACAUUAAAAGGAUCAUUUAUAAGGAUGAAAUGGGAUUUAUUCCAGAGAUGCAAGGAUGGUUCAAUGUUUGCAAAUCAAUCAAUGUGAUAUGACACAUUAACAAAAUAAAAGAUAAAAGUCAUAUCAAUAGAUGCAGAAAGAGCAUUUGACAAAAUUCAGUAUGCAAUUUAUGAUGGAAAAACUAGCAAAGUCAGUUUAGAGAGAACAUACCUUAAUGUAAUAAAGGCCAUAUAUGACAAAACCACAGCUAACAUCAUACUCAAUAGUAAAUCAGGGUUUUUUGUUUUUGUUUUUCUGUUUUUGCUAAGAUCAGGAAGAAGACAAGGAUAUCCACUCUCAGCAGUUUUAUUCAACAUAGCACUGAAAGUACUAGCUGUAGCAAGCAGAUAAGAAAUAAAAGACAUCCAAACUGAUACCUUUCCAGUGGAGCUCACAAAAAACCAAAAAACAAAAUACAACGGCCUCCAACAUACUAAACAGCUGUCUCCGAGAUCAGAAAGCAUCAGAAAAGACCCUAAAGAGUUGUGUAAUCCCAAAGGAAGAUCUUGUUUAAAUGGAGAAGUGCUUGCAGCAGAAACCUUGGAAAUUUCAGGGAGUGGAAUUUUAUUGUCAGAACUUUCAAUGAAAGUGCAGCCACAGAUCCUGGGAGUGUUAAAUAAAAAUUACCAACAAGC